UUCACUUCUCAGCCUUUUGGCUAAGACCAAGUGUAGCAACUAUUCUAUGUGAUUCUAUAACUAGCAUAGUUAGUGUUAACAGUGCUACAGACACUUUUAGAAAUACCAAAU
This 111-nucleotide small nuclear RNA is filed under the name Chrysolophus pictus (golden pheasant). RNAcentral describes it as "U2 spliceosomal RNA (ENSCPIG00010013347.1)". It matches the Rfam family "U2 spliceosomal RNA". From Rfam's summary of the family: U2 is a small nuclear RNA (snRNA) component of the spliceosome (involved in pre-mRNA splicing). Complementary binding between U2 snRNA (in an area lying towards the 5' end but 3' to hairpin I) and the branchpoint sequence (BPS) of the intron results the bulging out of an unpaired adenosine, on the BPS, which initiates a nucleophilic attack at the intronic 5' splice site, thus starting the first of two transesterification reactions that mediate splicing. Lineage: Eukaryota; Metazoa; Chordata; Aves; Galliformes; Phasianidae. The record is from Rfam by way of RNAcentral.